RNAcentral lists this ribosomal RNA (459 nucleotides) under uncultured bacterium. Its description in RNAcentral is "partial 16S ribosomal RNA". It matches the Rfam family "Bacterial small subunit ribosomal RNA", at positions 338 to 795 of the family's 1533-position model. The record is from RNAcentral.
CCUACGGGUGGCAGCAGUGAGGAAUAUUGGUCAAUGGCCGAGAGGCUGAACCAGCCAAGUCGCGUGAGGGACGACGGUGCCACGGGUUGUAAACCUCUUUUGUCGGGGAGCAAAGUGAGUCACGAGUGCCUCACUGAGAGUACUCGAAGAAAAAGCAUCGGCUAACUCCGUGCCAGCAGCCGCGGUAAUACGGAGGAUGCGAGCGUUAUCCGGAUUUAUUGGGUUUAAAGGGUGCGCAGGCGGGGGGUUAAGUCAGGGGUCAAAUUGCGGGGCUCAACCCCGUACUGCCGUUGAAACUGGAUGCCUUGAGUGCGCGAGAGGUAUGCGGAAUGCGCGGUGUAGCGGUGAAAUGCAUAGAUAUCACGCAGAACUCCGAUUGCGAAGGCAGCAUACCGGCGCGCAACUGACGCUGAGGCACGAAAGCGUGGGUAUCGAACAGGAUUAGAUACCCUGGUAGUC